AGUGAACGCUGGCGGUAGGCCUAACACAUGCAAGUCGAACGGCAGCACAGUAAGAGCUUGCUCUUACGGGUGGCGAGUGGCGGACGGGUGAGGAAUACAUCGGAAUCUACUUUUUCGUGGGGGAUAACGUAGGGAAACUUACGCUAAUACCGCAUACGACCUACGGGUGAAAGCAGGGGAUCUUCGCACCUUGCGCGAUUGAAUGAGCCGAUGUCGGAUUAGCUAGUUGGCGGGGUAAAGGCCCACCAAGGCGACGAUCCGUAGCUGGUCUGAGAGGAUGAUCAGCCACACUGGAACUGAGACACGGUCCAGACUCCUACGGGAGGCAGCAGUGGGGAAUAUUGGACAAUGGGCGCAAGCCUGAUCCAGCCAUACCGCGUGGGUGAAGAAGGCCUUCGGGUUGUAAAGCCCUUUUGUUGGGAAAGAAAAGCAGCAGGUUAAUACCCCGCUGUUCUGACGGUACCCAAAGAACAAGCACCGGCUAACUUCGUG
Molecule: ribosomal RNA, 492 nt
Filed under: uncultured bacterium
Lineage: Bacteria
Description: partial 16S ribosomal RNA
Rfam family: Bacterial small subunit ribosomal RNA
Source: RNAcentral